Homo sapiens (human) is the source of this 1822-nucleotide long non-coding RNA. Ensembl annotates it as long intergenic non-protein coding RNA 2579. NCBI's taxonomy places the organism in Eukaryota, Metazoa, Chordata, Mammalia, Primates, Hominidae. The record is from Ensembl.
AGUGUGUCUUUAACUUGUUAAGCUUGGGAGCUGCUAUCGGAGAGUCUUGCAUUCUGGGCCCAGCCACAUCCCUGCUCUUGGUAAAGAUGCAGAAACUGAGGCCCGGGACCACACACCUGACACCAAGUGGACUAGGAUUCAGGCCGUUGACCAUAUUCUUUCAACUUCAGGAGCAACAGCACCUGGAGGACCCAAAUUUGCUGUCAUCCUCCACGAGGCCUCAGCAGUCUCCAACAUGGAAGGGCACUGAGCCAGCCUGGGGGUUUCCAGGGACCUUCCUGACUGAACACUGGAAAGACCCUUUCAUUCCAUCCUGUCCCCCAGGUGGGACCCCACGCCCUGAGGUGGAACAGAGGUGAAGAGGAAGGGGAGCGGCUCCUGUGCAUUUUAAUAGAAAUGAAUUCAAGUUCUCUCCUGAAGGACUCAGUUCCUUGGGCCCAAACUUCUCCAGUCUCUCAUGAAAGGAGAUGAACUGCUUCAGAUAAAGUGCUAAUCUUCAGCCUCAAAGUCCUCAGAAGGGCCUUCUCCACGCUGCUGGGCUGUGAAAGGCUGAAGGAGGUGGAGCUGGGGAGGAAGAUGAAGAUCUAGAGGUCUGAGAGAGCUUCAACUGAGUAGAGAGCAGCCUGGGUUCCAAAGUCCUGGCCCCAGCUCUGUGUAGCCAUGUGACUUUAGUUCAGGCCCUUGACUUCUCUAAGCUUCUGUGUGCACAGCUAUCAAAUGGGAGUAAUAGCAGUAUUGACCUCGUGGGUGGUUAUGAGGCUUUACUGAGAUGGUACAAUGUCAAGGGCUUAGCACAUUGCCUGGCACGUAACACUCAGUAAAUGCCACCCUGACUGCGUUUAAUUUGGGAAGCUAGACCCUUACCUACCCAAGGGCUGUGAUGGUAGCAAGCCCACCUGCAGCCAUCCUCAGAGGGUAGGUGGAGAGUGAAGCCAAGCCCCAGAGCCACGGACUCCAGAAUGAAGGUAUGGACUCCGUGCCUGGACCUGUUACUUGAUUAGGGUUUCUGACCCCAGCUUCUUCCCCAUUUGCCCUGUCACACCAUCCCAUAAUGUCCUGUUGCCCCCCUCUUGACCCUUCCUCCCACCCCAAUUCCAUUUAUCACAGUCCACUUGUGGUGUCAGGGCAGAGACGCCCAAGGCACUGAACUCAUCUUGCCACUGUUGGUCGCCCUCUGUGCGUUACAACAAUGUGGGACUUGGGGAUUCUAAACCACCACCCUCACCAAUUCUCUCAAUCCCCAUGACCAUCUCCAUGCCUCCAAGACUCUCUGUGCCAGCCCGGAGGGGAAGCUGUCCGCAAGGUCUCUGGCUCCUUAGUGCAGAGCAGGGUCUACACUAGGUGCAGAGCUCUCUGGUCAGCGCAGCAGUGGGCCUGCCACCCAGACACACAGAGGUGGCUCAGCAACAGUCAGAGGCCCUCAGACAACAUCGGGAACAGAAGUGGCUGUAUGAGCUUCUAAAAAGCCCCAUCUGGAAGCUGGAGAAGCUGGGCCCAUUUCCUAACUCAGAGGAGGCCACAGUCCCUGGGGCAGGAACUGGCCCCUCCUAUUCUUCCCUUGCCCUCCAGAGUGGGGUUGCCUGGGACCAGGUCCUCAGAAACUGUGAUGGGAGGAGGGCACCUUUACAACAGCAGGUGGAGCACCUGUAAGUCCUAAGUUCCCUUCCCCAAAGACCAAGAAAGAGUUUGGAGAAGACUGGAGCCAGCCUUGCCUUCUCCUCUCCUGAAGGAAUGGAUACAUGAAUGAAUGAAUGCCUCUACUUUACUCUUUUAUUUUUAGAGUUAAGGUAGAGAAAGAAUAAAAUAGCUGUGGAUGUACAAA